Molecule: ribosomal RNA, 781 nt
Filed under: uncultured bacterium
Lineage: Bacteria
Description: bacterial SSU rRNA
Rfam family: Bacterial small subunit ribosomal RNA
Source: RNAcentral
AGAGUUUGAUCCUGGCUCAGGACGAACGCUGGCGGCGUGCUUAACACAUGCAAGUCGAACGGUGACCCUGGAGCUUGCUCCAGGCGAUCAGUGGCGAACGGGUGAGUAACACGUGAGUAACCUGCCCUAGACUCUGGGAUAAGCCCGGGAAACUGGGUCUAAUACCGGAUACGAGACGAGAAGGCAUCUUCAUCGUCUGANANAGAAUUUCNGGUCUAGGANUGGACUCGCGGCNCUAUCAGCUUGGUUGGUGAGGUAAUGGCUCACCAGAGGCGACGAACGGGUAGCCCGGCCUGGAGAGGGCGACCGGCCACACGUGGAACUGAGGACACGGUCCAGACUCCUACGGGAGGCAGCAGUGGGGAAUAUUGCACAAUGGGCGCAAGCCUGAUGCCAGCGACGCCGCGUGGGGGAUGAAGGCCUUCGGGUUGUAACCCUUUUAGCAGGGAAGAAGGAAAGUGACGUACUGCAGAAAAAGGCCGGCNAAUACGUGCCAGCAGCCGCGGUAAUACGUAGGGCGCAAGCGUUGUCCGGAAUUAUUGGGCGUAAAGAGCUCGUAGGCGGUUUGUCGCGUCUGCUGUGAAAAUCCGAGGCUCAACCUCGGACUUGCAGUGGGUACGGGCAGACUAGAGUGUGGUAGGGGAGACUGGAAUUCCUGGUGUAGCGGUGGAAUGCGCAGAUAUCAGGAGGAACACCAAUGGCGANGGCAGGUCUCCGGGCCACAACUGACGCUGAGGAGCGAAAGCAUGGGGAGCGAACAGGAUUAGAUACCCUGGUAGUC